Molecule: ribosomal RNA, 497 nt
Filed under: uncultured bacterium
Lineage: Bacteria
Description: partial 16S ribosomal RNA
Rfam family: Bacterial small subunit ribosomal RNA
Source: RNAcentral
GACGAACGCUGGCGGCGUGCCUAAUACAUGCAAGUUGAGCGCUGAAGGUUGGUACUUGUACCAACUGGAUGAGCAGCGAACGGGUGAGUAACGCGUGGGGAAUCUGCCUUUGAGCGGGGGACAACAUUUGGAAACGAAUGCUAAUACCGCAUAAAAACUUUAAACACAAGUUUUAAGUUUGAAAGAUGCAAUUGCAUCACUCAAAGAUGAUCCCGCGUUUUAUUAGCUAGUUGGUGAGGUAAAGGCUCACCAAGGCGAUGAUACAUAGCCGACCUGAAAGGGUGAACGGCCACAUUGGGACUGAGACAAGGCCCAAAAUCCUAAGGGAGGCAGCAGUAGGGAAUCUUCGGCAAUGGACGAAAGUCUGACCGAGCAACGCCGCGUGAGUGAAGAAGGUUUUCGGAUCGUAAAACUCUGUUGGUAGAGAAGAACGUUGGUGAGAGUGGAAAGCUCAUAAAGUGACGGUAACUACCCAGAAAGGGACGGCUAACUACGUG